GAUGCUACCUGGUUGAUCCUGCCAGUAGUCAUAUGCU
RNAcentral lists this ribosomal RNA (37 nucleotides) under Lupinus arboreus (tree lupine). RNAcentral's name for it is "partial 18S ribosomal RNA". The record is from RNAcentral. Lineage: Eukaryota; Viridiplantae; Streptophyta; Magnoliopsida; Fabales; Fabaceae. RNAcentral also lists the same sequence under 28 other names.